RNAcentral lists this unclassified non-coding RNA (290 nucleotides) under Hevea brasiliensis (rubber tree). Lineage: Eukaryota; Viridiplantae; Streptophyta; Magnoliopsida; Malpighiales; Euphorbiaceae. The record is from RNAcentral.
UCGGCCGGGCGCGCGGCGGGGCAGGUGUUCAACAUCUGGUCGCGCGGCUAUUCGAAUGCGGCCAGCGCAUUGUCGCGCUAUCGCGAGCGCGCCCGCGGCCGCGAACAGAUGCGGGAACGCGCCCGGGAGGCGCGGAUUGCGGCGGCCAGGGCGCAGACCGCCCGAUUGAAAUAACACUCUGCCGGCGGGGUUAUUGGAACAUGAGGGCUGAGGCUGUUCCGGCCUCGCGGGAAAGUGAGCCUGCGGCUGGAGCGUUGCUGUAACUUUUCGCGAAAUGGACCGUAGAUCGU